UAAUUUAAUAUUUUUCCACAAAAAGGGAAAGACAAAGAGUGUGUUUGGUGUUGCGGUAAAUGAUGUGGUUGUGGUUUGAAAAAAGUUGUUUUAUAAAAAGUAUUUUUAGUUGA
Long non-coding RNA from Populus euphratica (Euphrates poplar), 113 nucleotides. RefSeq lists it as uncharacterized. The transcript is spliced from 3 exons. The record is from RefSeq and is a predicted model, not a curated record. Lineage: Eukaryota; Viridiplantae; Streptophyta; Magnoliopsida; Malpighiales; Salicaceae.